RNAcentral lists this ribosomal RNA (213 nucleotides) under uncultured bacterium. Its description in RNAcentral is "partial 16S ribosomal RNA". It matches the Rfam family "Bacterial small subunit ribosomal RNA", at positions 524 to 737 of the family's 1533-position model. The record is from RNAcentral.
GACGAGGGAUCCUAGCGUUGUUCGGAAUCACUGGGCGUAAAGCGGGUGUAGGUGGGCUUCUAAGUCAGAUGUGAAAUCCCAGGGCUCAACCCUGGAAGUGCAUUUGAUACUGGAAGUCUUGAGUGUGGUAGAGGUUACUGGAAUUGUUGGUGUAGUGGUGAAAUACGUAGAGAUGCGGAGGAACACCGAUGGCGAAGGCAGCCCCUCGGCGAC